RNAcentral lists this ribosomal RNA (254 nucleotides) under uncultured bacterium. Its description in RNAcentral is "partial 16S ribosomal RNA". It matches the Rfam family "Bacterial small subunit ribosomal RNA", at positions 524 to 776 of the family's 1533-position model. The record is from RNAcentral.
UACGAAGGGGGCUAGCGUUGUUCGGAAUCACUGGGCGUAAAGCGCACGUAGGCGGAUUGUUAAGUCGGGGGUGAAAUCCUGAGGCUCAACCUCAGAACUGCCUUCGAUACUGGCAAUCUCGAGUCCGGAAGAGGUUGGUGGAACAGCUAGUGUAGAGGUGAAAAUUCGUAGAUAUUAGCUAGAACACCAGUGGCGAAGGCGGCCAACUGGUCCGGUACUGACGCUGAGGUGCGAAAGCGUGGGGAGCAAACAGG